CACAACCGAGUCAACCAGUGCAGGAUUUUCUAGGUAGACUUUGGGUAGACCAAUCUACUUGGAAUUAGAGCUCCCAGUUGGGCUGGAGCUAUGUAUUUGAAAUUUCAAAGAGUUACAGGCAAGGGAGCGUCAGAACAGUUUUCAGGCCAAUGGUAGGUGAUGUUGAAAUGACAAUCAGAGUGGACUAAUAGAUAAAGGAGAGACUGGUGUUGAGAGAUGUGAAGAGGGCUCUGUAGAAAUCCAGGCUGGGGAUGAUGAGGUUCUAGACCAGACCAACGGAAAUGGAGAAUCACAAACAAGUAGAUGAUUUUAACUGUGGGGCUGGAUAUCUAGUGAAGGAAAUCUACAGGUAAGGGGACCAAAGCAGAUCCUCAGGGGUUCCAGCAAGGAUUUUUCCCAGGAAUGUGACAUGCUGGCUCUUUGGUACAGAAGAUAAGAACACAAGAGAUAAAGGGUACAAGUGGAGAUUGUCAUCAUGCCUGAUAAUUGGGGGUCAUGAAAGCCCAGAAGAUUCAGAGCUGCUCCUUGUCAGAAUAAGCGGGGAAGCUUCCUGCUCAGGAAUGAGGAUUCCUGAAAUCAAUUAUUUUAAACUCAAUUUCACUAACGAGAGACAUGAAGUUAACAACUAAGAUCAACUUGCCAGCUUCUGUGUCCAGGCCUCCCUGCAGGAGGCAGAAAACCAGCAGGAUAAAUUAAUAGGCAGAACUCAAAACAAACAAAUAAACGAAAGCACUGUGGAAAUUCA
RNAcentral lists this long non-coding RNA (745 nucleotides) under Marmota marmota marmota (Alpine marmot). Its description in RNAcentral is "lncRNA (ENSMMMG00000009460.1)". Lineage: Eukaryota; Metazoa; Chordata; Mammalia; Rodentia; Sciuridae. The record is from RNAcentral.